AGGAGGCUGGGCCCGCUUCCGGCGGGAGCGGAGCACGGGGUGAUCUGGGCACUAACGCUGAUGGGGAGCAGCGGACAUCAGCCUCGACCUCCCACGAGCGGUGCACGAGCGCCUGACCCAGACCUCGACCCUAGCCUUCACCCCCACCCUGACUCCAGUUCAUGAACUGGUCAAAGGAAGAGCCAUGCCAGCAAACGUCUACACUGUACAUGCUUUUUAUUACAAGACUACGGAGCAUAGGAGGAAAAUUCAUCAUCUGGUAACUACACCUAAAGCACAAAUAUUUGGGGGGAAAAAAAGAACAGAUUCAUUAAAUUAUAUGAUUAAAUCAUUGA
Long non-coding RNA from Homo sapiens (human), 335 nucleotides. Ensembl annotates it as endogenous retrovirus group K13 member 1. Its record names the gene ERVK13-1. The record is from Ensembl. Lineage: Eukaryota; Metazoa; Chordata; Mammalia; Primates; Hominidae.